AGGUGCGUAGCUCAGUGGUAGAGCGGCGGUCUCCAAAACCGCUUACGGGGGUUCGAUUCCUCCCGCAUCUG
Molecule: transfer RNA, 71 nt
Filed under: Streptomyces reniochalinae
Lineage: Bacteria; Bacillati; Actinomycetota; Actinomycetes; Kitasatosporales; Streptomycetaceae
Description: Streptomyces sp. LHW50302 tRNA-Trp
Rfam family: tRNA
About the family: Transfer RNA (tRNA) molecules are approximately 80 nucleotides in length. Their secondary structure includes four short double-helical elements and three loops (D, anti-codon, and T loops).
Source: RNAcentral